RNAcentral lists this ribosomal RNA (468 nucleotides) under uncultured bacterium. Its description in RNAcentral is "partial 16S ribosomal RNA". It matches the Rfam family "Bacterial small subunit ribosomal RNA", at positions 28 to 507 of the family's 1533-position model. The record is from RNAcentral.
GAUGAACGCUGGCGGCGUGCCUAACACAUGCAAGUCGAACGGAAAGGCCCUGCUUUUGUGGGGUGCUCGAGUGGCGAACGGGUGAGUAACACGUGAGUAACCUGCACCUGACUUUGGGAUAACUUCUGGAAACUGGGGCUAAUACCGGAUAGGAGCUCCUGCUGCAUGGUGGGGGUUGGAAAGUGUCGGCGGUUGGGGAUAGACUCGCGGGUUAUCAGCUUGUUAGUGGGGUAGUGGCUUACCAAGGGUUAGACGGGUAGCCGGCCUGAGAGGGUGAACGGCGACAAGGGGACUAAGGGACGGAGCAGACGCCUACGGGACGCAGUGGGCGGAAGUAUUGCGGAGUGAGCGGGAGCGAGAUGCAGCAACGCCGCGAUCGGAAUGACCGCCUACGGGUUAUGAACCGCUUUCGCCUGAGACGUAGCGUGAGUGACGGUAAAGGGUAAAGAAGCACCGGCUAACUACGUG